GACGAACGCUGGCGGCGUGCCUAAUACAUGCAAGUUGAGCGCUGAAGGUUGGUACUUGUACCAACUGGAUGAGCAGCGAACGGGUGAGUAACGCGUGGGGAAUCUGCCUUUGAGCGGGGGACAACAUUUGGAAACGAAUGCUAAUACCGCAUAAAAACUUUAAACACAAGUUUUAAGUUUGAAAGAUGCAAUUGCAUCACUCAAAGAUGAUCCCGCGUUGUAUUAGCUAGUUGGUGAGGUAAAGGCUCACCAAGGCGAUGAUACAUAGCCGACCUGAGAGGGGGACCGGCCCAAUGGGGACUGAGACACGGCCCAAACCCCUAGGGGGGGCAACAGGAGGGAAUUUCCGGCAAUGGACGAAAGUCUGACCGAGCAACGCCGGGGGAGGGAAAAAGGUUUUGGGAUCGUAAAACUUUGUUGGGAGGAAAAAACGUGGGGGGGGGUGAAAAGCCAAAAAAGGGAGGGAAACAACCCAAAAAGGGGCGGCAAACCACGU
This 496-nucleotide ribosomal RNA is filed under the name uncultured bacterium. RNAcentral describes it as "partial 16S ribosomal RNA". It matches the Rfam family "Bacterial small subunit ribosomal RNA", at positions 28 to 506 of the family's 1533-position model. The record is from RNAcentral.